GACGAACGCUGGCGGCGUGCUUAACACAUGCAAGUCGAGCGGUAAGGCCCUUUCGGGGGUACACGAGCGGCGAACGGGUGAGUAACACGUGGGUGACCUGCCCUCAGCUCUGGGAUAAGCCUGGGAAACUAGGGUCUAAUACUGGAUAUGACUCCACGGUGCAUGUCGUGGGGUGGAAAGCCUUGUGCGGCUGAGGAUGGGCCCGCGGCCUAUCAGCUUGUUGGUGGGGUGAUGGCCUACCAAGGCGACGACGGGUAGCCGGCCUGAGAGGGCGGACCGGCCACACUGGGACUGAGACACGGCCCAGACUCCUACGGGAGGC
Molecule: ribosomal RNA, 322 nt
Filed under: uncultured bacterium
Lineage: Bacteria
Description: bacterial SSU rRNA
Rfam family: Bacterial small subunit ribosomal RNA
Source: RNAcentral